RNAcentral lists this small RNA (445 nucleotides) under Pan troglodytes (chimpanzee). RNAcentral's name for it is "retained intron". Lineage: Eukaryota; Metazoa; Chordata; Mammalia; Primates; Hominidae. The record is from RNAcentral.
GAUGACGCACACGGAAGCACCGAUAGGCUCUGCCUCCCGAAGAAAAGGGAGCCGCGCAGCGCCUACGGGAGUCCGGCUGCAGCAGCCGGUACCGGCAACCACGGGCAGCUCUCAGGGAAUCUCCGUCGUGAGGCCAGAGGCUCCAGUCCCCGCGAGUCCAGAUGCCUGUCCAGCCUCCAAGCAAAGACACAGAAGAGAUGGAAGCAGAGGGUGAUUCUGCUGCUGAGAUGAAUGGGGAGGAGGAAGAGAGUGAGGAGGAGCGGAGCGGCAGCCAGACAGAGUCAGAAGAGGAGAGCUCCGGUGAGCCCCUACACACACAGACACACACACACACACAGAGCCCCUACACACACACAUGCACACACACAGCCCCUACACACAAGCAUGCACGCACAUGCACAUACAGCGCCUACACACAAGCACAUACACAACCCCUGCACACAAG